Long non-coding RNA from Branchiostoma floridae (Florida lancelet), 1246 nucleotides. RefSeq lists it as uncharacterized. The record is from RefSeq and is a predicted model, not a curated record. NCBI's taxonomy places the organism in Eukaryota, Metazoa, Chordata, Leptocardii, Amphioxiformes, Branchiostomatidae. The transcript has 2 exons.
CAAAUUACUCUUACGUACUCCGAGAUGACACAAGGAGAAAGCUACGCGGUUUGGGGUCAAAUGAUGUCUUUAUUCUGCUCGAUGAGAGGCUUACAGGUUGUGCAAAGACAUCAACGGCCAAGCCGAGCGUAGUGAGGUGGCCCCAAACCGCGUAGCGGAAAUGUGUGGAGAAUAGUAUUGUUAUUGUAGUAAAGUAGAGAGUAUGUAAAAUUACAGUUCAGCUUUCAAAGAAACAGUCCAGGACUUGUGAAGAUCCGCCUGCAGAACGCCGCUGGGCACUGUCGAACAGCGUAGACUCGGGCCGGAAACAGGUGCGUCGGCGCGGUGAGUCUAACUUAGUACUGCGAAGUGAGGGGUCCUGAGGGUCUUCAGCGCACCGCUGGAGCUGGUCUCCUUGUGUUGUCGAUUGUGAAGGAACGCAGAGUCAGUGGUGUCAGGGGUGCAGGCCCGAGCUGGUGAAGAUCGCACUGCAGAACUCCGCCUGGCACUUGCGAGCAGUAGAGGCUAGCCCGAGAGCGGAUGCAACGGCGCGUAGCUCUAGCUGGAGUGCUGCGAAGUGGGGGGUCCCGCGAGGGUCUUCAGCAUGCUGCUGUAGGUGCACACCAACUUCCUACUGUCUGGGUCCCUGUAGGUAGUACGGGCGGGAAGGGGAAAGACUGAGGGGUAAGGAGGUGUCGUUCGAGAUGUUUACGAAGUUGCCGCCGGUAGGAACAUGGCUGCCGACAUCACGGACGCCUCGCGAGAACGAAAAGGGCGCGAAAUUUCGAGGAAGUUGUUGGGGUGGGGGGCGUUAAUUCCAGUAGCGGUUUGGUCUCUAGCUAGGCCGUACGGCCCCUAUGAGAGCAGGUAUGUCCCCCGUGGAAUCUGCAAGGUCUUCUGAGUCCUAGUUUCAGUGACGUGAUGUUUCGGAGCCCUGGGUGGAGCGAGCUGCAUGCUGACUGUCGAAAGUGGCUAGAUCGAUGGCGUGGUGUUCCAACAGCUCGCCCGUCUUGGUGGAGCGCUCUAUCGGCCGAUUCCAAGGGGAAUCCGGUGGCCCCACCUCGUUUGCUGGCAGAAUCGUGUGCCUCAGUAGUUAAGACACGUUGUACGCUAGGUAGAGCUCUUGAUGAGAACUAAAACCAGGAAAUUUUUGGAUGAAAAGUUAAGCAAAAUGCGAGCCCGGCCGACCUAGCCGGCGGAUGUCGCUCAGUGAGGUCAAGGGUCGUUUCCGUCAGCGAAAUUCCCUACGAUUGCUCUAUUAGCAAUC